AGCGAACGCUGGCGGCAGGCUUAACACAUGCAAGUCGAACGGGCUUCUUCGGAAGUCAGUGGCAGACGGUGAGGAACACGGGGGAACGUGCCCUUCGGUUCGGAAUUACUCAGGGAAACUUGAGCUAAUACCGGAUACGCCCUUUUGGGGAAAGGUUUUCUGCCGAAGGAUCGGCCCGCGUCUGAUUUGCUUGUUGGUGGGGUAACGGCCUACCAAGGCGACGAUCAGUAGAUGGCCUGAGAGGAUGAUCAGCCACACUGGGACUGGGACACCGCCCAGAAUCCUACGGGAGGCAGCAGUGGGGAAUAUAGGACAACGGGCGCAAGCCUGAUCCAGCCAUGCCGGGUGAGUGAUGAAGGCAUUAGGGUUGUAAAGCUCUUUUGUCCGGGACGAUAAUGACGGUACCGGAAGAAUAAGCCCCGGCUAACUUCGUG
Molecule: ribosomal RNA, 434 nt
Filed under: uncultured bacterium
Lineage: Bacteria
Description: partial 16S ribosomal RNA
Rfam family: Bacterial small subunit ribosomal RNA
Source: RNAcentral